Molecule: transfer RNA, 69 nt
Filed under: Cantonius szechuanensis
Lineage: Eukaryota; Metazoa; Arthropoda; Insecta; Coleoptera; Buprestidae
Description: tRNA-Trp
Source: RNAcentral
AAGGAUUUAAGUUAAUUAAACUCACAGCCUUCAAAGCUGUAAAUAAAGUCGCCCGGUCUUUAAGCCUUA